UACGUAGGGGGCAAGCGUUGUCCGGAAUCAUUGGGCGUAAAGCGCGUGUAGGCGGCCCGGUAAGUCCGCUGUGAAAGUCGGGGGCUCAACCCUCGGAUGCCGGUGGAUACUGUCGGGCUAGAGUGCGGGAGAGGCGAGUGGAAUUCCUGGUGUAGCGGUGAAAUGCGCAGAUAUCAGGAGGAACACCAAUUGCGGAGGCAGCUCGCUGGAACGUUACUGACGCUGAGACGCGAAAGCGUGGGGAGCAAACAGG
This 253-nucleotide ribosomal RNA is filed under the name uncultured bacterium. RNAcentral describes it as "partial 16S ribosomal RNA". It matches the Rfam family "Bacterial small subunit ribosomal RNA", at positions 524 to 776 of the family's 1533-position model. The record is from RNAcentral.